Molecule: long non-coding RNA, 2350 nt
Filed under: Pan troglodytes (chimpanzee)
Lineage: Eukaryota; Metazoa; Chordata; Mammalia; Primates; Hominidae
Description: lincRNA
Source: RNAcentral
AUGAGGAAAGAGUCACCAGCCACCCACGUUGCCUCCACACCGGGUGUCACUGUGACCUUAGCAGACAACAGGGUCCUCCCGAGGAGAGAACACAAUAGGCACACUGGAUGGGGGGAGAGGGUCCAAAAGCCCCAAGCAGGGGGCAGGUCUGGGCAGAGGAGAAGGUGCUGUGUCUGUGGUGGCACUGGAUGCCUUGGAAGGAUAGCUGUGAUUAGAACAUGUGUGUAAAGCGCCUGUCAUGGCAGCGUCCUUCUCCUGGCGGCAAGUCUUCACUUGCAAAACAAGUCCUUUUAGAAACAGGCUUUGUGACAGCUGCUGCUAUCCAGUCAUCUUUAGAGCCCUGGAGUCCUCGCCAAGGGCACGGGCUCCCUUUGUGGUCCUGGAAUAAUGGGGCCUGCCCGGCACUCUCAGAUUGCAUGGGGAUCUGCUUGACUUAGGGUUCUACUGAUGAAUUCAUUUAACUUUGACCUGGGAAGAAAAGUCAUAAAUUCACAUCCAUGAACAGGAGGAGAAGAAGGGUAACUGCUAUAGAGACUGCACAGUGAUGACCCCUGCAUGCAUUUUUCAGUCAACAAGAGCAUCUCGUGACUUCUGAUCAUGGUUCCAAGGUCUGUGGGUGCCACGUUUUUUGAGUUUACCGAGACCACAGAUUGGAGACUUUGAAGUGCCCUCCAGGUCCAUGCAGCAGGCCCACUUCACUGCAGGGACAGGGUCUACAGGAGGGUGUCAUAUUUUAGUUAGAAUGGCAGAGCCAUGGAUAACACUCAGUCCUAUUAUGGAGCUGGACCCGGAACCCAGAAACUCAGAAAAGUUAAGUGAUUUGUGAGUAACAUCCACAUGGAGCCGCUGGAACUGAACUCAAAUACAGGUUUAACCUUGGCAUUAGCUAAGUGACUGCCGUGGUUUGGAUAAGAUAUUUUUGUCCCCACCAAAUCUCAUGCUGAAAUGGGACCCCAGUGUGGCAGUGUUGGGAGAUGGUCCUGGUGGGAGGUGUUUGGGUCGUGGGGGCGGAGCCGUUGUGAAGAGCUUCAUGCCAUUGUUCUAUUAGCAGAGAGUGAGUUCUUGCUCUCUCAAGACUGGAUUGGGUCUUGGGGGGAUGGAUUAGUUCCCGAGAGUGGGUUGUGAUAAAGCCCAGACACCCCUCAGAUUUAGUCCUUCUUGGCACCUUCCCACCGCCCAUUUGACCUUCUCCACCAUGUUUUGACACAGCAUGAAAGCCCGCACCAGAAGCCGAGCAGAUGCCAGCAUCAGGCUUCUUGUACAGCCUGCAGAUUCAUGGGCUAAAUAAACCUCCUUUCUUUAUAAAUUACCCAGGCUCAGGUAUUCCUUCAUAGCAACACAGAGGGACUAAGCAGUGGCCUAGAGAAAGCCAUAUAGAUUCAUUUAGCUUCAGCCUCUGCAGCUGUAAUGUGGGCCUAAUAAGAGUGCAGAAGUCAAAGGAUUGUGCAAGAUUCAGAGAGAAUACAUGUAUGCCACCCAACCUACAGUGGCACGGGGUGGACUCUCAAUAAACGGGAAUCACUACUGAAACACUGUAUACUACUACUAUUCUCGUUGCCUAAGGUAUUUUAGUUACCUAUACUUAUUAGUUUUGCAAUGAACAAUAUACCAAUUUGUUCAGAUCAGAAUCAUCCUUGGGUGAAAGACGGUUGGGAAACAGGAUAUCGACGUGAUCUUAGUGUAUUUCCCCUCAGGUCACUUAUUAUUUACAAGGAGAAAAUAACACCUUUAACUUAGAGAUAUCUGGUGGUUAUCGCCUUAACUGAGAGAUAAAACUUGCAUCGCCAGUAAUGGGACAGUCUUCUACGUACUUCCUAAAGGGAUGUGUGGAAAAAGACAUGAUAUUGCUUGUAUAGUGUUCUUGCCAACAAUAGUUAGCCUGAAUUGAAUUGUGAGAAAGCAAUCGAAGUCCAACAAUGAGAGAUCCUGCAAAACAACUGGCCCAGGCUUCCGAAGUGUUAGAAUAAAGGAAGGCAAAGAAAGGUAGCGAAAUUAUCUUAGAUUAAAGGAUGCCAAAGAGGUAUGAUAAUAAACGCAGUACAGGGGACUUUGGAAAAUUAGGACAUGGACUGAAUAUUAAAUAAUAUCUCCAUGUCAAUGUUAUGUUUUCUGAGUAUAACAAGGGCAUUUGGUUAUACAGGAGCAUGUCCUUGUUCGAAGAAGAUACAUACUGAAGUAUUUAGGAGUAAGAGUCAUGAUACAUGAAACUCCUUUUCAAAUGGUUCAGCCAAAAGGACUGUGUGUGUGUGUGUAUACAACAUGUAGAGAGAGUUGUUUAAAGCAAAUGGGGUAAGAAAGGUAAGAUUACAUACGGUUCUGAUAUGAUACCAAUUAUAUUUGUGAUAUAACU